RNAcentral lists this ribosomal RNA (440 nucleotides) under uncultured bacterium. RNAcentral describes it as "partial 16S ribosomal RNA". It matches the Rfam family "Bacterial small subunit ribosomal RNA", at positions 338 to 795 of the family's 1533-position model. The record is from RNAcentral.
CCUACGGGUGGCAGCAGUGGGGAAUAUUGCACAAUGGGCGAAAGGCUGAUGCAGCAACGCCGCGUGAGCGAUGAAGGCCUUCGGGUUGUAAAGCUCUGUCCUCAAGGAAGAUAAUGAAGGUACGUGAGGAGGAAGCACCGGCUAACUACGUGCAAGCAGCCGCGGCAAUAUGUAGGGGGUUGGCGUUAUCCGGAAUUACUGGGCGUAAAGCGCUCUUAGGCGGUAUGUCAAGUCAAUGGUGAACUCCCCGCGCUCAACGUGGGAACUGCCGUUCGAACUGGCAAACUGGAGUGUGUGAGAGGAUAGUGGAAUGCCAGGUGUAGGAGUGAAAUGCGUAGAUAUCUCGAAGAACAUCAGUGGCGAAGGCGGCUAUCUGUCACAUAACUGACGCUGAGGAGCGAAGGCGUGGGUAGCGAACAGGAUUAGAUACCCCAGUAGUC